Molecule: non-coding RNA, 30 nt
Filed under: Rattus norvegicus (Norway rat)
Lineage: Eukaryota; Metazoa; Chordata; Mammalia; Rodentia; Muridae
Source: RNAcentral
UACACUGGAUGGCUCCGGAUGUUAGACCCU